AUACGGAGGGUGCAAGCGUUAUCCGGAAUCAUUGGGUUUAAAGGGUCCGCAGGCGGUCAAUUAAGUCAGAGGUGAAAGCCCAUCGCUCAACGAUGGAACUGCCUUUGAUACUGGUUGACUUGAGUUAUACGGAAGUAGAUAGAAUAAGUAGUGUAGCGGUGAAAUGCAUAGAUAUUACUUAGAAUACCGAUUGCGAAGGCAGUCUACUACGUAUAUACUGACGCUGAGGGACGAAAGCGUGGGGAGCGAACAGGAUUAGAAACCCUAGUAGUCC
RNAcentral lists this ribosomal RNA (274 nucleotides) under uncultured bacterium. RNAcentral describes it as "partial 16S ribosomal RNA". It matches the Rfam family "Bacterial small subunit ribosomal RNA", at positions 523 to 796 of the family's 1533-position model. The record is from RNAcentral.